RNAcentral lists this long non-coding RNA (5883 nucleotides) under Pan troglodytes (chimpanzee). RNAcentral's name for it is "long non-coding RNA NONPTRT004918". The record is from RNAcentral. Lineage: Eukaryota; Metazoa; Chordata; Mammalia; Primates; Hominidae.
AAGGCGGAAAAACUGUGGCUUCCCUCUCCCUUCUGCCUGUGAGCUGUCUAGUGACUUGUGCUGUCCUUCUGUCAUGCUGUCUUAUCAUUUCCCCAUUCACUCCAUUACUGGGCAACAACUGCAGAAGAAAUUGUUGAGGACAUGCUUCUCGAGCGCCACACAUCCAUCUGCCUUUCCCGCCCUGCACUGGUAUCAAUUUGCCUGCUUCUUCCUUUUCCUAGUGUCUCACAAAAUAAAUUUCUUCUGUAGUUGCCAUUCCUUGGAGACCCUCUUGCUUCUUUCUCUGUCAAGAAGGGGAAAGAGGCAAAGAGAGAAGAGGGAACAGUAGGCGAUGGAGAAUGACAGUCCAUUGUUGCAGCACAGAAUAUGGGGCCACCAAAGGGCUGCACAAAGAUGUUCAGGGAUAACUCGGCCAUGAGAAAACAUCUGCACACCCACGGUCCCAGAGUCCACGUCUGUGCAGAAUGUGGCAAAGCUUUUGUUGAGAGUUCAAAACUAAAACGACACCAACUGGUUCAUACUGGAGAGAAGCCCUUUCAGUGCACGUUCGAAGGCUGUGGGAAACGCUUUUCACUGGACUUCAAUUUGCGCACACACGUGCGAAUCCAUACCGGAGACAGGCCCUAUGUGUGCCCCUUCGAUGGUUGUAAUAAGAAGUUUGCUCAGUCAACUAACCUGAAAUCUCACAUCUUAACACAUGCUAAGGCCAAAAACAACCAGUGAAAAGAAGAGAGAAGACCCUUCUCGACCACGGGAAGCAUCUUCCAGAAGUGUGAUUGGGAAUAAAUAUGCCUCUCCUUUGUAUAUUAUUUCUAGGAAGAAUUUUAAAAAUGAAUCCUACACACCUAAGGGACAUGUUUUGAUAAAGUAGUAAAAAUUAAAAAAAAAAAAACUUUACUAAGAUGACAUUGCUAAGAUGCUCUAUCUUGCUCUGUAAUCUCGUUUCAAAAACACAGUGUUUUUGUAAAGUGUGGUCCCAACAGGAGGACAAUUCAUGAACUUCGCAUCAAAAGACAAUUCUUUAUACAACAGUGCUAAAAAUGGGACUUCUUUUCACAUUCUUAUAAAUAUGAAGCUCACCUGUUGCUUACAAUUUUUUUAAUUUUGUAUUUUCCAAGUGUGCAUAUUGUACACUUUUUUGGGGAUAUGCUUAGUAAUGCUAUGUGUGAUUUUUCUGGAGGUUGAUAACUUUGCUUGCAGUAGAUUUUCUUUAAAAGAAUGGGCAGUUACAUGCAUACUUCAAAAGUAUUUUCCUGUAAAAAAAAAAAGUUAUAUAGGUUUUGUUUGCUAUCUUAAUUUUGGUUGUAUUCUUUGAUGUUAACACAUUUUGUAUAAUUGUAUCGUAUAGCUGUAUUGAAUCAUGUAGUAUCAAAUAUUAGAUGUGAUUUAAUAGUGUUAAUCAAUUUAAACCCAUUUUAGUCACUUUUUUUUUCCAAAAAAAUACUGCCAGAUGCUGAUGUUCAGUGUAAUUUCUUUGCCUGUUCAGUUACAGAAAGUGGUGCUCAGUUGUAGAAUGUAUUGUACCUUUUAACACCUGAUGUGUACAUCCCAUGUAACAGAAAGGGCAACAAUAAAAUAGCAAUCCUAAAGCAAGAAUAUGGCAGAACAAGAUCUGUAAGCACAGUCUUAUUUUCUUUUGUUGUCCAGAAUACUUAUAAUUCUUGAGCCUCCCAGAAAUUGGAAGCUAAAUAAAGCAACUCAAGUUUCCUUUAUUUUGCACUCAGUUACAGUGAUUAUUGAUGAAAGCGAUGCAUGGAUAUUUUAAUACUUCCUACAUGGCCUGACUUCUGAAAGAGAGUAGGUAACAGGCAUCCCGAGUUCAGGAACUACCUCAGAACACCCCAGGCCAGGUUGGUCGUAGGCUGUGAUUUUAGCCCCCGGCAAGUGUGAGUGAAGCAUCUGUACCACCGCGCAGGCUGAGCGCCUGCGCAGGGUAAGGUGCCACCUGGCAGUGGGGCACACAGAGGGAAGACCAGGCCUGUCCAUCAGCCGGCUGCCUUCAGAGGCAGCUCCAGCAGGGCCUUGGCUUGUCUGACAGGAAAUGCUUGUGGUCGUUGGUUAUUUGGUUUGAGAGCCCUUGUUCCUCCAUCUAGUGGAGUCCUUAUUAAAUGCUAGCAAUGUGGCAAUUGAGUGCCAGUAGCUUCAUUUCAUGUUUCUAAAUGGACACUGGGUGCAAAUCGGCAAGGUGAUUAGAUUAUUAGAAAAUUGUGCUCAAUGAGUACCUCUCACAUUGUAACCUCUUAAAUGUACGAUUAUAAUGUUGGAUCUUAGGUCAAAUAACAGACUUGAGAAUACUUUAUAAACUGCCAUGAUACAGCAAAAUCUCAUUUAUUCAAAGUGCAAACAUACUGUGUGUCUUUCUGUUUUGUGUAUGCUUGACUGCAAGAUAAAUGACAAACUAGCUAAUAUCCGAGAUUUAUUUACAAACGGCCAGGGACCCCAUCAGGUGAAACACAUAGCCCAUUGUCUUAGAGCUUCUCCAUCGGUCCUGUACAGGAGGAUUGGUGACCUACUAACAGUGACCCUGUGGCUCUGUGGAAUUUUGAAGUGCCUUUUGUGAAUCAUGAAUGAAACAUUUAACUUGAGACCCUUAAAAAAAUUCAUCCAGAAUCUGUUACCCCUUGGGUAGUUUGAUGGAACUGAGUUAAGCAGAAGACCCCAGCUGUUUUCUGGGUAAGCCAGGCUUUGCUGUAUCUGGCAGUCAGGAGAGAGGUCAGCCCAUGGUGGAGGUCUUCAGUGCCGAGGGCUCGGAUGAGAACGUGUAGUUCUUUGACUUGGACCUGGGCAGCGUCUUCUAUGGAUGCCUGCCUUGUGAGCACCCACACCUUCCCUCCCCACUGUCGGGUUGAGUAGCCCCAGCGUGGCUGUGUUAGGAGUCCUUUGCCCAACAUUGUGCUGCACUGGAGCCUGGCCCUGGCACUGUCCUCAGGACCCUGCCCAAGGGCCCACCGCAGAGCACACCUAUGCUAUGGGGAGCCCUGCUGGCAGCCCCGAGAGCCAUGCCAUGGCCUGCAGGAGCCAGGCUCCUGUGUGGAUGAAGUCCCUCUUCCUCUGUGCCUUGAUCCCUUGGUCAUCUCUUCCGUCCUUUCCUGUCUCUGAAAUAGUCAUCACUCCCCUUGACUCUCUCUGUUCACGUCUUCUCAGUCUGCAGAGUUAACUUCUGUAAGGAGUUUAAUCUGGGGUUCCAAGAAAACAAGUUCCUUGUUAACAUAGCACUGACUUUGCAACAAUAGAAAACUAACAAAUGAGCAACAAUAUAAAGAGUAGAGGUAGUUCUCAUUGGGUGUAACUUCAACCCAUUCUGCUUGUGGUUAGAAUUUAUAAUUUUGCUAACGAUGUAAUUUACUAAGGUUUGAAAUGGUGUUCUAACAGUGAGUCCAUUGUCUUGAGGAUUAAUCUGAUUUAUAAGUAAUACUGAUAGACAUAUUUUCGUACAUCUGAGCAGAAAUAAAUGCAUGUUUCUAGCAUAUGUAAUAUAAAAACUCCAGAGGAUAAGUUUACACUUAACAAGAUGUUGUUUUCUAUUUUUGAAUUUCUUAUUAUUUCCCCCUUUUUGGUAGUGGGGUUGAGAGGGGGAGCAUACUAUUUGUAUAAAGAACUGUCACCCCAGAGUGACAUUUAUUUUCCAAGAUGACCCUGAACUCAUGCUGUUGGUUUCAUAUGGUGUUUGUGUGCUUUGCCUAGAUUCAAGGCCUGAGGAUUUGAGGAAAAUCGGGAUUUUUUUUUUCCUAUUUGGUUUUCAUGUAAAAGUUCUAAAUGUCACUUAUUUUGCUAAAUAAGACCCUUUCACAGGAUAGUGUGCACAAUACCUAUCCGUGUUUCCAAGCAGAGUUCAAGUUCAUGUCUUCACAAGUAGAUGAGAGUCACUUCCAGUUGGGGGAAGCCCGCCUGAGCAGUGUUUUGAGAGUGCGUACAUUGGAGAACUGCCCCACGUCCGUUUGCACUCUGCCUUGCAAAACUUACUGUGGAGACGUGCCCCAGACUGGUCUCAGACCAGAGUUUGUGGCACAGGAAAACCUGGCCCCCUAAAAGAAGUUUUGGAAUUGGAAACCUGAUAAUUUCGGGAGGCUGAGGCAGGAGAAUGGCGUGAACCCGGGAGGCGGAGCUUGCAGUGAGCCGAGAUCGCACCACUGCACUCCAGCCUGGGUGACAGAGCAAGACUCCGUCUCCAAAAAAAAAAAAAAGGAAACCUGAUAAUUCUACUCACCUCCCACCGACCCCCCGCCCCCCCCCCCCCCCCCCACUAUAGGCAGAGAGAGUUGAUCACUUCCAGGGUCUCUGACUUCUGUGACCUGGAAAUCAGCCUGGCUUGGGAAAUUCAUGUUGUUGAUCUUUAAUUAUUUAAUUAUUCUUUAAUAAUCCUUCUAUUUUCUUGACAUCUGACCCCCAGCAAGAGUAAGGAUCCCAGAGGUCAAAACAGUGGUGAGAGCCAAGCUGCUCACAGACACCCACUUGAUGCCACAGCCAUGCCAUGAGGCUUCCUCCCAGCUGCUCUGCUGGCUUGCUGAAGCCAGCUCUGAGUCACAGGGUUGCCUUGGACCCUCGGCUGUAGGGGGCACCUGUCUGGCUCCGGGCCCUUUGUCCUGGAUACACUGACAGUAAUGUGAGCGCAGCACUUCAGAGUUCAGGCCCAGCAGGUCCUGGCAAGUGCAUUCCACCUGAACUUUUAACCCAAGCGGUGGGGAAGGAAGCCAAAACUCCAAGCUGCACUUUCUUGGGGUUCUGGCCAUGCACUUCUUAGCCUUCUCUCUGACUUUACAGGACAAAAGGUACCCCACGCCUUCAGAAUCAUGCUUACCUGCACGGCAGCAUCUGACUGGAUGGCUGGCUAGGUCUCAUCCACCCCAAAUUACUGACCCUUGAUUUAUGUUGUUACUGCUCAGGUUAUGCUCAGAUGCCCUGGUUGCCUGAAGAUGGUUUAAGUGCAGGCCCUUCAGACAAGUCACGUCAGGCAAGAGAGGGCUGGCCUCUAACCCACAAGAGGGCAGAUUUGUGGCCAAGAGGCUUCCUGGCAUCCACCCCCAGGCCCAAGGGAUCAGUGUGGUGCCAGAGAGGAUCUUUAAGCUGGGACUGUACUGAGGCUUGAUGGGAAGUAUGGGCAGCAUGUACUUGACACGUUAUCACCCAGUCCCCUUGUAAAAUCUGGAACGGAGUGUUUAAGCUGAGCGUUAGCAUCAGGUCAGCAGGCAAAGCAAACCUCCCACAAACUGGGUGCCGUAAGGCGGGAGGUGACACAGGGAGAGCUUCGUCCUGGCCGAGCAGGCACCCAGCCCCAUGUCCCCCGCCAGCAUUCUGGAUGUCAGAGGAGGGUGCGUGUGAUGGCGUCACAUUCAUCUGAAGCACACUGAUUGUUUUUCCACAAGGUGGCAAGUUUGAUCAAAUUGACCGCUUUUCAUGAGACACCCAGAUGCUGUAAAAAAAAAAAAAAAACAGCACUGGGAUGUGUUGAGGAGGGGGCAGUUUGCUGUGCUCUGUUCUGUCUGCUGCUCUCUCUGGGGGCCGCACAAUGUCCGCACACAUCACGGAGGGGAGAAAGGCAUCAGUACCAAACGGAACAACCUCUUUUUUCUACAAUGUCCAUACCCGGACAUGUGAGGCUCUAUUAUCAACAGGUGGUGAGAAAAAUUCUGUUUUUAUUCACUUUCUGGUAACUUCUGUAGGCCCUGGCUCAAGGACUUAGCAUUUCGUCUCAUGUACAUCUUUUUCUUAAGUGUUCUUUGCCAUUUCUGGAAUUGUCCUUGGUUUUUCCUUAGCUCAUAGGUCAUAGAUGCAGAAAUAUAGUAUUUAAGGCAUCCGCAUCCAGCAUCAGAUGGCUUUGCAUCCAGAAAAACAUUGAUAACUCAGUUUGAAGCACCAAGCAUGUGUAAUAUGGCUCUAUACAAU